This 506-nucleotide ribosomal RNA is filed under the name uncultured bacterium. RNAcentral describes it as "partial 16S ribosomal RNA". It matches the Rfam family "Bacterial small subunit ribosomal RNA", at positions 29 to 523 of the family's 1533-position model. The record is from RNAcentral.
AGUGAACGCUGGCGGUAGGCCUAACACAUGCAAGUCGAACGGCAGCACAGAGGAGCUUGCUCCUUGGGUGGCGAGUGGCGGACGGGUGAGGAAUACAUCGGAAUCUACUCUGUCGUGGGGGAUAACGUAGGGAAACUUACGCUAAUACCGCAUACGACCUACGGGUGAAAGCAGGGGAUCUUCGGACCUUGCGCGAUUGAAUGAGCCGAUGUCGGAUUAGCUAGUUGGCGGGGGAAAGGCCCACCAAGGCGACGAUCCGUAGCUGGUCUAGGAGGAUGAUCAGCCACAGUGGAACUCAGACACGGUGCGGACUCCUACUGGAGGCAGCAGUGGGGAAUAUUGGACGAUGGGCGCAAGCCUGAUCCAGCCAUACCGCGUGGGUGAAGAAGGCCUUCGGGUUGUAAAGCCCUUUUGUUGGGAAAGAAAUCCAUCUGGUUAAUACCCGGGUGGGAUGACGGUACCCAAAGAAUAAGCACCGGCUAACUUCGUGCCAGCAGCCGCCGCAG